UAAAAAAUAGGUAUGUGCUAUUUUUUUUUGAGAGAGCUAAUUUUUGUUUCUUAGACGAGGUACGGAGAGUUCUGGCCCAAAGUAUAUUGGGCUUGGCCCUAAUAGAUUGACUCCGAUGUUUAAAACAGGACCAAAAGAGUGCUACUGUACUGUACUGUCCAGCCCAACAAAGCUGUCUCAGUUCUCUCUCAAAAAAAGAAAACCUAAGCCAUCUUGUACGACAACGACGCGUGGCGGUCGACGGCAGCUCAGUGACGCGGUGGCUCCGGCCGUCGGCUGCGGUGUGCGGAGGCGCCGAGGAGGAUCGAGGAGAAGCAGCGUCGAUGCGGUCGCGACGGAGCGCGCGGGCGGGGUCGGCGCUGGAGCCGCUCGGAUGCCGGCUCCGUCGGCCCAAUCGACGGCGACCGGAUCUAAGCGGCGCCCGCACGCCACCGAGGGGGAACAAGAAGUCGAAGCGAGGAGCCGAGCCUCCCUGAGCCCAAGCCUCCCUCGUGUCUACUCUGGCGCCAAAAGAGAAAAGCUUCAGGCAGAUCUGCUCUAGACUUCAACGGGAAGAUCAAGAUGGGGAUCAAAGGUGAAUAAAUAAUUUUUUUUUAGAGCAAGUGAUAAGGGGCGAUGGAAUAUUUGGGGGGAAUAAAUCGACGAAUUCAGAUUGAGAAAAGGGAAUAAAGUGGCACCAAUAGUGCUCUGCA
Aegilops tauschii subsp. strangulata is the source of this 692-nucleotide non-coding RNA. NCBI's taxonomy places the organism in Eukaryota, Viridiplantae, Streptophyta, Magnoliopsida, Poales, Poaceae. The record is from RefSeq and is a predicted model, not a curated record.